RNAcentral lists this transfer RNA (72 nucleotides) under Marseillevirus LCMAC103. Its description in RNAcentral is "tRNA-Arg". It matches the Rfam family "tRNA". Rfam says of the family: Transfer RNA (tRNA) molecules are approximately 80 nucleotides in length. Their secondary structure includes four short double-helical elements and three loops (D, anti-codon, and T loops). The record is from RNAcentral. Lineage: Varidnaviria; Bamfordvirae; Nucleocytoviricota; Megaviricetes; Pimascovirales; Marseilleviridae.
GACCCGGUGGCGCAACGGAAGCGCACGAGAUUUCUGAUCUUGAGGCUGCGGGUUCGAAUCCCGUCCGGGUCG